RNAcentral lists this long non-coding RNA (439 nucleotides) under Trifolium pratense (red clover). Its description in RNAcentral is "long non-coding RNA (TPRA_LNC000443)". The record is from RNAcentral. Lineage: Eukaryota; Viridiplantae; Streptophyta; Magnoliopsida; Fabales; Fabaceae.
CUUGGUUGUGACAAUUUAUGUGAUAGGAAGUAACAUUCAAGCUGCAUGGCUGUUUAUUUUCUUUUUUACAUGUUUGGGAAAUAUGUAAAAAAUUGAGAUUAGAAUUACCUUGAAUGACUGAAUAUUGGAAAGUUUUGGACCACAUUGAGGGUGUCAUAUAAUUCAGUUUUACUAUUAUAGGGGAUUUUAGAAUUAGAUCAUCUACCUGCACCAAAAGGUGAUAGCUGUUUCUUUUUUCUUUUUAUUUUUGCAUAGAGACAACACCCGGUUUGCAGAAAGCGAAAAACUAAUUAGAGACAGAGACCACCCUGAAUAGUAAAUGACCACUAUCUUUGUCUGUGGACAUUCCUAAUCACAACCAUAGACAUGCUAUUUAAAAAACGUAAGAACUCUAGAAUAGUUUCCAUUGCACCUAGAGUUGCCAAUUUUUUUGACGUGG